This 460-nucleotide ribosomal RNA is filed under the name uncultured bacterium. RNAcentral's name for it is "partial 16S ribosomal RNA". It matches the Rfam family "Bacterial small subunit ribosomal RNA", at positions 338 to 795 of the family's 1533-position model. The record is from RNAcentral.
CCUACGGGAGGCAGCAGUGAGGAAUAUUGGUCAAUGGACGAGAGUCUGAACCAGCCAAGUAGCGUGAAGGAUGACUGCCCUAUGGGUUGUAAACUUCUUUUAUAUGGGAAUAAAAUGUUCCACGUGUGGGCUUUUGUAUGUACCAUAUGAAUAAGGAUCGGCUAACUCCGUGCCAGCAGCCGCGGUAAUACGGAGGAUCCGAGCGUUAUCCGGAUUUAUUGGGGUUAAAGGGAGCGUAGGUGGGUUGUUAAGUCAGUUGUGAAAGUUUGCGGCUCAACUGUAAAAUUGCAGUUGAAACUGGCAGUCUUGAGUACAGUAGAGGUGUGCGGAAUUCGUGGUGUAGCGGUGAAAUGCUUAGAUAUCACGAAGAACUCCGAUUGCGAAGGCAGCUCACUGGACUGCAACUGACACUGAGGCUCGAAAGUGUGGGUAUCAAACAGGAUUAGAUACCCGUGUAGUC